AACGCUGGCGGAAUGCUUUACACAUGCAAGUCGAACGGCAGCACGGACUUCGGUCUGGUGGCGAGUGGCGAACGGGUGAGUAAUAUAUCGGAACGUGCCCAGUCGUGGGGGAUAACGUAGUGAAAAUUACGCUAAUACCGCAUACGAUCUACGGAUGAAAGCGGGGGACUCGCAAGAGCCUCGCGCGAUUGGAGCGGCCGAUAUCAGAUUAGGUAGUUGGUGAGGUAAAGGCUCACCAAGCCCGCGAUCUGUAGCUGGUCUGAGAGGACGACCAGCCACACUGGAACUGAGACACGGUCCAGACUCCUACGGGAGGCAGCAGUGGGGAAUUUUGGACAAUGGACGCAAGUCUGAUCCAGCCAUUCCGCGUGCAGGAUGAAGGCCCUCGGGUUGUAAACUGCUUUUGUACGGAACGAAAAGGUCUCUCCUAAUACGAGGGGCUCAUGACGGUACCGUAAGAAUAAGCACCGGCUAACUACGUGCCAGCAGCCGCGGUAAUACGUAGGGUGCAAGCGUUAAUCGGAAUUACUGGGCGUAAAGCGUGCGCAGGCGGUUAUAUAAGACAGAUGUGAAAUCCCCGGGCUCAACCUGGGAACUGCAUUUGUGACUGUAUAGCUAGAGUACGGUAGAGGGGGAUGGAAUUCCGCGUGUAGCAGUGAAAUGCGUAGAUAUGCGGAGGAACACCGAUGGCGAAGGCAAUCCCCUGGACCUGUACUGACGCUCAUGCACGAAAGCGUGGGGAGCAAACAGGAUUAGAUACCCUGGUAGUCCACGCCCUAAACGAUGUCAACUGGUUGUUGGGUCUUAACUGACUCAGUAACGAAGCUAACGCGUGAAGUUGACCGCCUGGGGAGUACGGCCGCAAGGUUGAAACUCAAGGAAUUGACGGGGACCCGCACAAGCGGUGGAUGAUGUGGUUUAAUUCGAUGCAACGCGAAAA
Molecule: ribosomal RNA, 940 nt
Filed under: uncultured bacterium
Lineage: Bacteria
Description: bacterial SSU rRNA
Rfam family: Bacterial small subunit ribosomal RNA
Source: RNAcentral